CAUCUUCAAUGUUUUUUUUUUUUUUCCUAAUUGAGGCUCCACUUUUUCUGCAGAUUCAAAUUCCCAUGAAGAUUUGUCAUAGCUUAACUCAUUGUCCUCACAUUGAUUUUUUAGUUCCUCCUCAUAAGGUCCAUUCAUCCCCUUGAUUGAUAGUUCAUUUUUAUUCAUUGAUGUUUCAAGAUCAUCCAAUUUAACUACUAUUUCUUUGAGUUUCAUUUGAUGAUCUUCUUGAAUCUUCAAUAAUUGGUUAAAGAAACUUUCAAAUUUUUCUUUUUCCUUAUCAAGUCCUACUCCUUUCUUUUCUUCAAACUCAAAUGGUUGGUGUGAAAUAUUAAAUUGGUAGUGGUAUGGGGGAUAUUGGUGACUCCAACUUUGCAGUGUGGGUCCCAAUGCCAAUGGUAAUCAAAAUCCGCCAUGUCAUUCAAUAAGUGAAUGACAUCCUCGUGUCCUCUUUGAAGAAUGUGAUCACCAGUUGCCCAAACUCCGUAAUCUAACCAAUUUCUUGUUGCUUCAUCCAAACUAUUGUAGAAACAAAGAAUUAGAGACUGAUUUGAAAGGUUGUGGUUGGAAAAUCUCUCUAUCAUAUCAUUGAAUCUUCCCCAAGUGGCAUAAAAGGGCUCCAAGUGUAGUUGAGCAAAACUUGUGAAGACUUGUACAUGAAACAUUUCAAUGAACCUCACAAGAUAAGCAAACGAAAACAAAAUUAGAAAUACAAAAGAAAAAUUCAAAAAGAAAAACACAAAGUAAAGUAAUAAUAAAAGAAAAUUAAAAAGAAAAUGUCUAAAUUAACCAAAUAACCAAAUCAUCUAAUAUCAAACAACAAUUCCCCGGCAACGGCGCCAAAAACU
This 848-nucleotide unclassified non-coding RNA is filed under the name Hevea brasiliensis (rubber tree). Lineage: Eukaryota; Viridiplantae; Streptophyta; Magnoliopsida; Malpighiales; Euphorbiaceae. The record is from RNAcentral.